CCCCGAAAAGGGCAAACCGGCCGAAAGGCCGGGGAGCAAAGCUAGAGGGUCUAAGGCCGUCUGGGGAGGGCUAUGACAGCCAGCUGCCGUG
This 91-nucleotide non-coding RNA is filed under the name Moorella sp. (in: firmicutes). RNAcentral's name for it is "Moorella sp. c-di-GMP sequence". It matches the Rfam family "c-di-GMP-I-GGC riboswitch aptamer". The record is from RNAcentral. Lineage: Bacteria; Bacillati; Bacillota; Clostridia; Neomoorellales; Neomoorellaceae.